UACGAAGGGGGCUAGCGUUGCUCGGAAUCACUGGGCGUAAAGGGUGCGUAGGCGGGUCUUUAAGUCAGGGGUGAAAUCCUGGAGCUCAACUCCAGAACUGCCUUUGAUACUGAAGAUUUUGAGUUCGGGAGAGGUGAGUGGAACUGCGAGUGUAGAGGUGAAAUUCGUAGAUAUUCGCAAGAACACCAGUGGCGAAGGCGGCUCACUGGCCCGAUACUGACGCUGAGGCACGAAAGCGUGGGGAGCAAACAGG
This 253-nucleotide ribosomal RNA is filed under the name uncultured bacterium. RNAcentral's name for it is "partial 16S ribosomal RNA". It matches the Rfam family "Bacterial small subunit ribosomal RNA", at positions 524 to 776 of the family's 1533-position model. The record is from RNAcentral.